CUUUAUCACUAUUUUCCCAUGUCACUAUGAAGCUAUUGUUUGUGUUUUUGUUAUUUUCCAGUGUUCACCUCCAUGGUUGUUCAUAGUUUAGUGCUGCUCAAUUGAAGGGGGUCUAACAUGGUACAUUAGUGAUGAAGAAAGCUCUGUAUGUUGCAUUCCAACAUGUUGUUAGCAAUUGUCAACAAUCAUAGCCUGUUAUUGCACGAUCACUGUGAAACUUGAGAUGAAAUUAUCAAUGUUCUUCAACAUUGAAGUGGUUUCUUUCAUUGUUAUAGUGACCGUGAAUUCAUUUCUAUUAACCGUGGUUUAUUCGUAUGGUAGAAUGGGCGGAAAGAAUAGAGGAAUGUGUUAUAGUUGUAGAGAUAGAGGCCAUUUAUUUUAUGAAAGCCCAAGGAAGUGCAGAUGCCCGGCAUGCAAGAAUGGAUUUGAGAAGUGUUUCGUGGUGGAGAAGCAAACAGCAAAUAAAGGGAGAUUAUUUCUCUGUUGCAGUAAGCAAUGCGGAUUUUGGGAUUGGGUUGUCAAAGAAAAAUCACCCGGUGAAUCGUCUAGCAACAAUUCUUCAUUAGUAAACCUUGCGACGAACGAAAAUGAUGAAGAAAUGUCCAAAAUGUUUGAAUCUCGAGUUCACCUAACCGAUGAUGAAGACCUACAUAUUUUGGUGAACGUGCAAAUAUGUAAGGCGAAUUCUAGUGCGGAAGUGAAUGCAAAAGGGAAGCGAUCAACUUGAUUAUUAGAUAAAAAUUUGCUCUCGGCUUUUGACAUAACUUUUGUAUGUGUAGCACUAUCUCGUGUUAGCUCUCAUUGUCUUCAUGUAGUAAUUCCAAUUACUCUUGUUCAAGUAUUAUGUACCGAUUGAGAUGGAUUAGGAAUGUGUAAUAUUUUGAAUUGAAGUAUUGCCACUACUGUAUUUGGAACUACGUUCUCUUGUAUGAAUGAAAUUAUAUAGCUA
This 949-nucleotide long non-coding RNA is filed under the name Olea europaea subsp. europaea. Lineage: Eukaryota; Viridiplantae; Streptophyta; Magnoliopsida; Lamiales; Oleaceae. The record is from RNAcentral.